RNAcentral lists this unclassified non-coding RNA (240 nucleotides) under soil metagenome. Its description in RNAcentral is "partial contains 5.8S ribosomal RNA, internal transcribed spacer 2, and large subunit ribosomal RNA". The record is from RNAcentral.
AACCAUUCUCACCUGCGGCUAGACCUGCGGAGGGAUCAUUAUUGAAAACAUAUGGUAACAACCAGGGGGAGGAGGGAGGAGAGGCGGCUUUGCUGCCCUCUUUUCUUCUUUUCCUGGACAAACAACCAACACACAUGACUAGGCAAAAGAGAGACAGACUGCGUGGAGGAGUUGGCUUGGCUUUGGCUUGGAUCCUCGCACACGGGCACAGCACAAGAAGUUCUUGUCUGAUAAGUAGCU